UGAGAGUAGCACUCACUCUAUAGAAAUCCUUGUUAGGAUGAAUAUUAAAACACUAACAUAUACAUAUGGGGCUAAUUCCCAAUAAAACUCUGUUCCUAAACUGGAACCUUGAUUUGAUAUUCAAAAUUAAUUACUUUAAUAAUCCAGAAUAAUUCAAUACUCUUGGAUUAACACCUAAACCUAUAUAAAAUAUUACAAACAUGAACCAUCUGUGUAUUAGGCUGGGGUUGUUGGGUGUGGGUAUAGGUUGGAAGCUAUGGUUGGUAUUGAGGAAUCUGUGGGGGUGGGUUUGGGCACUCAUUUUUCCAGUGACCCUGCUAUCCACAAUUAGAACAGUGUGUUCCACCAAUGCUGAAGUUGUUACCUCUACAAAAGUUAGACCCUUUGACCAAAUCCUCUACCUCUGCCUUUAUUCCAUAUGUAGGAUGGGAUUACCUAACUCACACCCCCCUCUUUGUGUACCACACAGAUAUGAUAUUAAUAAGCUUUUAAAGGCUGAAUGGAUAGUUAAAUUUUGUAUAUAAAGCAAGGUUGUCUAGGGGUAUAUACAUCAACAAUGAAAGCAUAGCCUUCAUAUAGGGCUUGCAAUACUGACAGUCUGUGUCAUGAGCGUAAUGCAGACAUGCGGUUAGGUACUUUUCCAUUAUUAUAAUAUAUUGAAAACACUAAGACCUUGCAAAUUUUUAAAACACAUAUUGCUACCUGUACCUGGUGCCAUGCAAGGAUGUAAUUGGGACAUAUUUCAAAUUGAGUAUCAAAAGUCUAACCACAAAACUAAAUGUUAUACGCUUAUCAAGAAAACAAGUUUAACCCGUUAGUGCGUACUUUGGAUAGCCUCUUUGCAUAAAUUGGCACGUAGUGAGAUUAUUAUAUUAUUUAUUAAUGCUCUUCUGGAUCUGCAAAAUGCUUUCAAUUUACCCAUACAAAUAUAAUACAGUAGUUUAGGCGAUUAAAAUUACCUCACUUAUAAAUUUCCGUAUUGUCUAAUCUCCAAUAAAAAUACCAUGUUAUUAUUACCCCAUAAUCAAGGUGGCAUACUAGAUGAAUCUUACUUUGACACAAACAAUGCAAUAUACUUUAAAAGUAGAGUUAACUCUGAGCUGGACAAUACUCCCCUAUUAGAACUCCUUUAUGAGGGAGAGACAUCUUGUCCAUUCAAUCCUUUUUAUCAGUAAAAGAAUGACUUUCAGGAUUAAUCAGUUUGCAAAUGGAAACGUGGACCCACGAUUUGAACAGCAGAAGUUUGCGGGGCCCCUUUCACGUGGGAUGUAACAAGCGCUUUUCGUGCUCCAGGAGCGAUAGCAUACAAUUGUUUCAUUCUAGCCGGCUGGACAGCAUUUCACCUUUUGUAAAAACACUAAAUGCUUGCGUUAAUGAUAUGCAAAUCACUCUGCUAGUUAAACUCCUACACAAUUGACAAUAAAAUACAUGAAACACAUAACACACCAAUUCAUUUCAAACCAUAUAACUCAUUCUCAGCAUCCAAUGUAAUAUUACAUGUCAUCUCACAAAAAAG
This is a non-coding RNA of Pelobates cultripes (western spadefoot toad), 1516 nucleotides long. NCBI's taxonomy places the organism in Eukaryota, Metazoa, Chordata, Amphibia, Anura, Pelobatidae. The record is from the annotation of a GenBank genome assembly.